This 252-nucleotide ribosomal RNA is filed under the name uncultured prokaryote. RNAcentral's name for it is "partial 16S ribosomal RNA". It matches the Rfam family "Bacterial small subunit ribosomal RNA", at positions 524 to 775 of the family's 1533-position model. The record is from RNAcentral.
UACGUAGGGUGCAAGCGUUGUCCGGAAUUAUUGGGCGUAAAGAGCUCGUAGGCGGUUGGUCGCGUCGGCUGUGAAAACCCGGAGCUCAACUCCGGGCCUGCAGUCGAUACGGGCCGACUUGAGUGUUGCAGGGGAGACUGGAAUUCCUGGUGUAGCGGUGAAAUGCGCAGAUAUCAGGAGGAACACCGGUGGCGAAGGCGGGUCUCUGGGCAACAACUGACGCUGAGGAGCGAAAGCCAGGGGAGCAAACGG